Molecule: unclassified non-coding RNA, 229 nt
Filed under: Hevea brasiliensis (rubber tree)
Lineage: Eukaryota; Viridiplantae; Streptophyta; Magnoliopsida; Malpighiales; Euphorbiaceae
Source: RNAcentral
AAGCGAUCUCUUGGAAGAGGACAAGGACAGUUGCCUUUUCCCAUUAAAGCAGAAUCCUCUGAAGCGAGGCCUUUGGUUCAAAGCGAAUGUUCUUCUAAGAAGAAAGCAAGAUGUUGUCCCGUUGGUCGCAGCAGCUGCUGCCAUCACUCUGGCGGCCGCCAUUUGACGUCGGUGAAGUAAACGGAAAUGGAGAUUGGGAGAUACUAAUUUGUUCCGUAGUCUCUGAUAG